ACUGUACGGGAGGCAGCAGUGGGGAAUUUUGGACAAUGGGCGCAAGCCUGAUCCAGCCAUGCCGCGUGUCUGAAGAAGGCCUUCGGGUUGUAAAGUUCUUUCGCCAGUGAAGCAGGCCUGCCUCGUUUGUGGGUGGGUUGACGGUAGCUGGAUAAGAAGCGCCGGCUAACUACGUGCCAGCAGCCGCGGUAAUCAGU
RNAcentral lists this ribosomal RNA (197 nucleotides) under uncultured bacterium. RNAcentral's name for it is "partial 16S ribosomal RNA". It matches the Rfam family "Bacterial small subunit ribosomal RNA", at positions 335 to 528 of the family's 1533-position model. The record is from RNAcentral.